UGAUCCGGACACCGGCGCCCGUUAUGCCAAGCAGCACAUCCAUCCGUGGAAACUGCUGGUGGGGUUCGUGCACUGCUGCAACGUGUUGUGGCGCGACAAGCUCGGACAGAUCUCGCUGGCGGUGACGACGCUCUUCUGGGGCGCAGGGGCCACCCUGCAGUUCAUCGUACUCAAGUGGGCGGAACAGGUGCUGGGUCUCGACCUCAGCCGCGCCGCUAUCCUGCAGGCGAUCGUCGCCAUCGGCAUCGCCGCGGGUGCGAUCUAUGCCGCCGCCCGCGUGUCGCUUAAGCGGUCGCUGGGCGUGCUCCCGGUGGGCGUGAUGAUGGGUGUGAUCGUUGCGCUGGCGUCGUUCUACAGCCGGACACUGGUGCCGGCAGGCGAGCUGCAGAUCGGCGCCCUGUCGGCUAGCUGGUUCCUGGCGAUCGCCGCUGCGAUCCUCGUGCUGAUCGGCGCGCUGGCAGGCUAUUUCGUCGUGCCGAUGAAUGCCCUGCUACAGCAUCGCGGCCACGUGCUGCUGUCGGCCGGCCACUCGAUCGCCGUGCAGAACUUCAACGAGAACCUGAGCAUCCUGGUGAUGCUCGGUGUGUACGCCGUGCUGAUCUGGCUGAACCUGUCGAUCCAGGCCGUGAUGCUGCUGUUCGGACUGUUCGUCGCCCUGUCGAUGAUCGCAGUGACGAUGCGUCACCGCUACAACCAGCGCCAGUUCGAUUCGGUCGCGCUGAUCGGCGCCGGCAGCCACUCGGUGUGAUCUCGAUACCUGUUGAUCUUGGUACCUGUUGAGACUUCACACCGCGGACCUGCCGACAAGGUCGCGCGCGAGACAGAGGUCGGCCCAGGCUUUCGCCUUGUCCGCCAGGUUUCUCAGCAGAUAGGCCGGGUGAUAGGUGACGACGACCGCCACGCGCCGCCCGGCCACGUCGACAUGGUGCGGCCGGCCGCGCAGGCUGGCGAUGCUGGCGUCGGUCUGCAGCAAGGCCUGCGCCGCGAUCCGCCCCAUCACCAGCACGAUCUUCGGCUGCACCAGCUCGAUCUGCCGCCAUAAGAACGGCCGGCACUGCUCGACUUCCUCCGGCACCGGAUUGCGGUUUCCCGGCGGCCGGCACUUCAGCACAUUGGCGAUGUAGACCGACUGCGAUGUGGCACCGGUGCGGGUGAGCCCGACCGCCGCCAGCAUGUUGUCGAGCAGUCGACCGGCCUGUCCGACGAAGGGCUCGCCCUUGAGGUCCUCUUCGGCGCCCGGUGCCUCGCCGACCAGCAUCCAGUCGGCCGCGUGGUGUCCGACGCCGAACACCGUGCGCGUGCGCGUUUCGCACAGUCCGCACGCUCGGCAUGCAGCGACAGAACGCCCGAGCGAGUCCCAGUCCAUCCGUGCGAUUCGUUCUUCGCGGCUUCCCUCCU
This 1398-nucleotide unclassified non-coding RNA is filed under the name uncultured fungus. RNAcentral describes it as "sequence contains 18S rRNA gene, ITS1, 5.8S rRNA gene, ITS2, 28S rRNA gene". The record is from RNAcentral. Lineage: Eukaryota; Fungi.